This 227-nucleotide long non-coding RNA is filed under the name Elaeis guineensis (African oil palm). Its description in RNAcentral is "long non-coding RNA (EGUI_LNC067672)". Lineage: Eukaryota; Viridiplantae; Streptophyta; Magnoliopsida; Arecales; Arecaceae. The record is from RNAcentral.
AUAGGGUACUUUUCUUUCACUUUUCUCCUAAGAUACUCUUUGAGAACAAGAAGAUAUUGGAGGAUCCUGAUCUCUAUGCUAGAGAUCAUGAGAAGAACCCUUUGUUCUCUUUUCUUCCUAAAAUUCAUGCAUCAAAUCUCUACAAUGGAGAUGUAAUAAAUUUUAUCCAACUUUUGGACAAAAGGAGGAGGAGACAACCAUGUCCAAAUAUGGAUAAGAGGGAGAGA